Molecule: ribosomal RNA, 432 nt
Filed under: uncultured bacterium
Lineage: Bacteria
Description: partial 16S ribosomal RNA
Rfam family: Bacterial small subunit ribosomal RNA
Source: RNAcentral
AACGAACGCUGGCGGCAUGCCUAACACAUGCCAGUCGAACGAGACCUCCGGGUCUAGUGGCGCACGGGUGCGUAACGCGUGGGAACCUUCCCUUAGGUUCGGAAUAACUCCCCGAAAGGGGUGCUAAUACCGGAUAAUGUCUUCGGCCCAAAGAUUUAUCGCCUUUGGAUGGGCCCGCGUUGGAUUAGCUAGUUGGUAGGGUAAAAGCCUACCAAGGCGACGAUCCAUAGCUGGUCUGAGAGGAUGAUCAGCACACUGGGACUGAGACACGGCCCGGACUCCUACGGGAGGCAGCAGUGGGGAAUAUUGGAAAAUGGGCGAAAGCCUGAUCCAGCAAUGACGCGUGAGUGAUGAAGGCCUUAGGGUUGUAAAGCUCUUUUACCCGGGAUGAUAAUGACAGUACCGGGAGAAUAAGCGCCGGCUAACUCCGUG